CUUUUGGUUUAAAGCUUCGAUGCAGAAUACGUUUCGAAAUGCAUUUAUUGUGCAUCUAUUUAGCAUUAGUUUUAGUUACAAGAUGCAAUAAAAGAACAUUUACAUUAUGUCUGUAUGUUUUCAUGAUAUUGGUAAUUGGUAGUAAACUGAACUGGUCCCUCAGCGUAUAAAAAGAAGAAAAUAUGGAUCCCACGACAAAGAGACAAAAACAUUAUGACACUUAACCUUAGGCAUUUAGAUGUCUGCAACAACAAACAAAUAAAUAGACAAAACAUGCAUCUCUAAUAUAUCAACCCGAUUGUGAAAAAGCUGCAAAUACAUUUAACAGUGAUUGUUACAGAUUUGCAAUUAAACAGAAUGCACUUACGAACAACAAAAAACAUUAGAACAUAACUUAAGUCAACCACUAACGAGGAUCCUGACUUAGGACAGAUGCGUGAAAAAUGGAAGCGUUAACUGAGUUCCAUUCAUUAGUCGAGUGACAGUUAUCACCGAAGACGUCUAGUUAGUAGUUUAAACUUCAAUAAAUGUAAAUUGUUAUUGAAAGAG
RNAcentral lists this long non-coding RNA (549 nucleotides) under Mytilus galloprovincialis (Mediterranean mussel). The record is from RNAcentral. Lineage: Eukaryota; Metazoa; Mollusca; Bivalvia; Mytilida; Mytilidae.